CCUUUUCUCGGUUAUACACUAAUGAGCUAGCGUUAGCUUAAACAUGUAGGUAACCGUUAGCUCUGAGAGCACGGAGGAAAUGCGCUUCAAUGCGGGGAAGUGUAAGUUGCAGCUGCUCUGUAGGCAACAGAGACCACACCUCAUGACCACAUGUUGGCUAAAAACUAAAUGGAUAAGAUAAUAUUGGUUUGCCUGCCGUGCCAAAAUUCAGUAAUGAUAAAUGAACAAUACUUAUUUUUCAUAAAAUAAAUGUACCAAUCCUGAAUUGUAUUUUUUUUGCAGUUUUUCUAUCUGAUGUUGGUGUGAUGUGGAACUCUUUGGGGACCUCAUAUUGUUUUGGGCAGUAAUCGCUGACAGCAAAGUCAAUCUGCCACUGAUCAUAUGUAGGCACUCAACAACUUUUGUGCAAACGGUUUUGGUCGUCUGAGGUCGAUGAGAUACAUGCUAAGUUCCAACGCGUUACCACCAUCCCACUGGAAUCUACCUUCAUGGCACAGUUGGACAGCCAUUUAGCCCAAUUGACGUAUAUCUUCCAGACGAAGGGAGGAGUUGCUGGCCAGAAACUAGCUAAACAUCUGGAGAUCUUGCAAGAAGAGACAAAUUAUGUCAAUCCUAAAAGGACAGCUGUCCUAAAGGCUCUUUGCAUCUACCUGGGGGAGGACGAGGGACAGCUUGUUCUGGAGUAUAUGAUGGAGCAUCCUACAUUCCGGAGGGCCCCUAACGGGACCAUCCUGCUCAAGGCCUCCCCAGCGGCCCAGGCCCUUUUCACGCAGCAGCCCCCCAGUGCCCAGGCGCCUUACAGGGCAAAGAAGCCGGAGGAGGUGGACUCGGAGGCCUGGGCUCACGUCGUCUCCGAGGGCGGUGACACCGCCAACGCCGCCCUGGUCCUGAGCCGGUGGAAGGUGCAGUUUGGCCGCUACCAGGGCAGAACCUUCCACUGGCUCCUGGAGAACGACGUGGGCUACAGCGUCAAUCUGGUCGCCUCCCACCAGAAGGAGCGCGAGAGGACGCAGUCUGAGUCCCCGCUGAUGGCCAACAAGGACGCCUUCACCCGCUACUCCUCCGCCUAUCCUGACUUCGUGGAGGCUGUCAGGUUCCACCGGGCAUUUGAGGAGGCGCGGGCGAAUUCCCUCCAGCCCGGUCAGGAGGGACGGGCCCUUGUUGGCUUCGGGGACUUCAAAUUUGAGACCCUGGAGAGCCUCUACGAGUCGACGGACAACAAAAAGAUCCGUUUUGUCAAGUACCUGCGGAGGACGUCACCAGCUCCAGGGACGCAGAUGGAGAACGCCGUCCAGUAUGUGCGCAGCAGAGACAGGCAGAGGAUGAAAGCUGCUGCUGGAGCAUCUACCUCCUCCACCGCCUCCACCUCCAGCAGCAGCGCAGCCUCUGCAUCGGCCGCAAGCCAGAGAGCCACGAGUGCAUCACAGCCUCUUGGUCCAGCGCUUGUGGAGUUUGUCUCUGGUCGGCGUUCUCUAUCUGCUGUGGAGAUGCAGGCCCAGGUGAAGAAGCUGGUGGCCCCUAAGCCUGCAUCUACAGCCUCCCACUUCAGCCCCUUCAGACCAGCUCUGUCCUCCCCCCGGUCAUCUGUGGAGCCUACAGAUGAAGAGCUGGUCAAGGCGGUAGUUGACUUGGAGACCUCCUCGAUUGCAAAGGCUCCCCUUUUGCGCCUGCCACCACCCGCUGCUGCUGCUGCUGCUGCCGCCGCCGCCUCCUCCUCCUCCUCCUCCUCCUCCUCCUCCUCCUCCUCCUCAGCACCUCCUCCUCCGGGAGCCGGUGUCUCUACUCUGCUGGACGAGCCCACAGACGAGGAGCUGCUGGAAGCCUCGCAGGAGAUAGACCCCCUGGUGGAAACUCCUGCAGCCCUCGUCGUGGUUCAGCCUGCCGGAACACCGGCUCCCUCGCCUCCAGCCGCCCCCUUGACGCCGUCCGCACCCGUCGCCGUGGAGGGAUCGGAGGAGUUCCUCCCUCCCCUCCAUCUUCUGCCAGUGAGUUGCUGCCUCAGUCCUGGAGGGCAGCUCUCACUGUGGAGCAGCAGCAGUGGAUCGGCCGGGUGCUGUUUACCAGGGACAGCCAGGGGAGGCCUCGGCUCGUGGGCGAGCUCAACCUAUGGUGGACCCCCCCCCAAACCCGGCCGGUCUACAACCAGCCUCCCGCAUCCCCCGACCCCUUCUUCGCAUGUCGGCUGUUUCUCUGGAUGCCACACCGGCUUUGGCGUCUGCAGCUGACAUGCCCCCAGCCUUCGUGCUCUGGGUCCCUGAUGAAGGCUGGGCUGUACAGGACCAUCCGGAGGGUCCUGGACAUCGACGGCUGGUACCUCAUGGCCACCGAGUACCUGGAGUGCCGUCGGUGUAAGAAGAAGGUCGGGGGGUGGUCACAGGGCAUCAUCAGGCAGCUGUCCCCCACCCACAGCUGCCAGUUCCCAGCUGUACUCACGUACAAGCUGUCCUGUGACAUGAGGGUGGUGAUACAGCUGAGGUCCCGCACUCUGGGGAACAGUGCCAACCAGCUGCAAAACACCCUGCGGGAGCAGCACUCGGACGCCUGGAUGCGGAGAGCCAUCAAGUACCUCGGCGUGUGCGAGCCAUUCCUGGCCUUGUGCUCGGCGAGGGGGCAGAUUCCACCUCCGCCCGAGAUGCCCCCUCUGCCAUCCCCCGUCUGGCUGCUGACCGUGUACAGCUACGACGUCCUGGCGCGGCUGGAUGAGUACAAGGCCAGGAUCACGUCCACCUUCGGGUCCAUCAAAAAGAUGGACUCCACCAAGAAGGCGAGUGGAGUCUGUCAGUUUCUUUUCCUUCCAGCUGCUGUGUGUUUCUCACAUUAACUCUCAGAAUCUCUCUGCAGGUGACAAAGAAGCUCGCGGGUAUCGCCUCCGACACGGCCGCCUGGGCUACCAACGUCGGCAAUGAGCACGGGCAGGUCCUCAUGAGCGUCCUCACCUCCACCGAGAGAGCGCCGGGGGCCUGUCCGGGAUGGCGGCCGGCUUGAUGAGGCGGUACCGACUCGCCGGGGUACCUCCCCCCCAGCUGAUCUACGUGGACCGCGACUGCUG
Long non-coding RNA from Gasterosteus aculeatus aculeatus (three-spined stickleback), 3049 nucleotides. NCBI's taxonomy places the organism in Eukaryota, Metazoa, Chordata, Actinopteri, Perciformes, Gasterosteidae. The record is from Ensembl.